UUUUGUUCAUCAGCACGCUACACGAAGAUUAGUUGGCAAAAGUUGAGACCCUACAUCUUUUGAAUAGUUCGUCGAGUUCUUUGAAACUAUGUUCAGAUUUUGUUGGAAAGUAAAUGCGCGCGGUCACGAAAUAAGGUUGAGAAAGGACGAACGAAAUGUUGCUGGUCAAUUAUUCACAAUAAUGGUGGACUUGUUAAACUAAAGAAAGUUAUCAUUGUUCACGCUACACGUUGAUCACGCCAGCUUUUGUUGACUAUAUUCUCUUGAGAAACCGUCUCUUCAAUGAUGCACAAUGGACAAUAUACUCCAGUGAAGAAGAAAAACGCCUGAU
Xenia sp. Carnegie-2017 is the source of this 331-nucleotide long non-coding RNA. RefSeq lists it as uncharacterized. The record is from RefSeq and is a predicted model, not a curated record. Lineage: Eukaryota; Metazoa; Cnidaria; Anthozoa; Malacalcyonacea; Xeniidae. The transcript has 3 exons.